RNAcentral lists this long non-coding RNA (526 nucleotides) under Panax ginseng (ginseng). RNAcentral's name for it is "long non-coding RNA (PGIN_LNC017706)". The record is from RNAcentral. Lineage: Eukaryota; Viridiplantae; Streptophyta; Magnoliopsida; Apiales; Araliaceae.
UGCAUACACAUCGGAAGGAGAUUAACGCUACGAAUCUUAUCCUCAAAACUGAUCGGACAUCCUCGAUACAAAUCAGAAAUAACUACAGAAGUCCCCAUCGGGGUAGCAAUAGACAUCACAGAAUCUAAAGACUGAGAUGGCACACCCAGGUGCCGAACAAAAGACUGAGCAACAAUGGAAUGAGUAGAACCGGUAUCAAACAAAAUAGACGCCUCACAAUUGCCAACUAAAAGAGUACCAGAAACAGUACCUGGUGUACCUGCCGCCUGGUUAUGCGUCAAGGCAAACACUCGACCGCCCUGACGCUGACCUCCAUUGCCACCAUUAUCGCCACCUCCACCAUUUCCACGUGGCCCAGCACAAUCCCUAGCAAUGUGACCUAUCUGUCCACACAAGAAGCAUGCACCAGUGAGUCUGUGGCACUACCUCCCCGGAUGAUUAGCCCCACAAGUAGCACAAGGAGCUAUCGGAAUAAGAUUCGGGUUACCCCCACCAGCUGGUCCUGGGUAACGACCCUAAUUUUGCC